AAAACGGGUGGUAAUGCCGGAUGCUCCAGUUGAUCGCAUGGUCUUCUGGGAAAGCUUUCGCGGUAUGGGAUGGGGUCGCGUCCUAUCAGCUUGACGGCGGGGUAACGGCCCACCGUGGCUUCGACGGGUAGCCGGCCUGAGAGGGCGACCGGCCACAUUGGGACUGAGAUACGGCCCAGACUCCUACGGGAGGCAGCAGUGGGGAAUAUUGCACAAUGGGCGCAAGCCUGAUGCAGCGACGCCGCGUGAGGGAUGGAGGCCUUCGGGUUGUAAACCUCUUUUAUCGGGGAGCAAGCGAGAGUGAGUUUACCCGUUGAAUAAGCACCGGCUAACUACGUGCCAGCAGCCGCGGUAAUACGUAGGGUGCAAGCGUUAUCCGGAAUUAUUGGGCGUAAAGGGCUCGUAGGCGGUUCGUCGCGUCCGGUGUGAAAGUCCAUCGCUUAACGGUGGAUCCGCGCCGGGUACGGGCGGGCUUGAGUGCGGUAGGGGAGACUGGAAUUCCCGGUGUAACGGUGGAAUGUGUAGAUAU
This 529-nucleotide ribosomal RNA is filed under the name Bifidobacterium longum subsp. suillum. RNAcentral's name for it is "bacterial SSU rRNA". It matches the Rfam family "Bacterial small subunit ribosomal RNA", at positions 153 to 697 of the family's 1533-position model. Lineage: Bacteria; Bacillati; Actinomycetota; Actinomycetes; Bifidobacteriales; Bifidobacteriaceae. The record is from RNAcentral.